GUGCCUAAUACAUGCAAGUCGAGCGGACUUGAUGGAGUGCUUGCACUCCUGAGAGUUAGCGGCGGACGGGUGAGUAACACGUAGGCAACCUGCCCUCAAGACUGGGAUAACUACCGGAAACGGUAGCUAAUACCGGAUAAUUUAUUUCACAGCAUUGUGGAAUAAUGAAAGACGGAGCAAUCUGUCACUUGGGGAUGGGCCUGCGGCGCAUUAGCUAGUUGGUGGGGUAAUGGCUCACCAAGGCGACGAUGCGUAGCCGACCUGAGAGGGUGAACGGCCACACUGGGACUGAGACACGGCCCAGACUCCUACGGGAGGCAGCAGUAGGGAAUCUUCCGCAAUGGGCGAAAGCCUGACGGAGCAACGCCGCGUGAGUGAUGAAGGUUUUCGGAUCGUAAAGCUCUGUUGCCAAGGAAGAACGUCUUCUAGAGUAACUGCUAGGAGAGUGACGGUAC
This 455-nucleotide ribosomal RNA is filed under the name Paenibacillus sp. 252-4.2-LH-H16(h)-01. Its description in RNAcentral is "bacterial SSU rRNA". It matches the Rfam family "Bacterial small subunit ribosomal RNA", at positions 44 to 478 of the family's 1533-position model. Lineage: Bacteria; Bacillati; Bacillota; Bacilli; Caryophanales; Paenibacillaceae. The record is from RNAcentral.